UUUCAGCUAUAAAUUGGGUUUGAAGCUGGGAGGUGUGUGUUGCUUUCACCUGCACCGCAGCCAUCAUGGAACUGGAGCUGUGUUUGAAUAUCAGAGACCCAGCCUUGGUUUGGCCUCUGUGGACUCCAGUCUCUCCAGGGGAGGAAAAGAGAACAAUUUCAUGAGAUUCCUUUGUAACAGAAGAGUUGAGGUUGUUAUAUAUUGCCACAUGUUGGGGACUUUGCAUUCACCCCUGGGGGGUGAUGAGAACUGAACUCAUGUCUUUGUGCACUUGGCCAACAGGCCCACCCCAAAUUUCACAUGUGGCCCUAGCAUUGCGUGCCAUAUUGGUGGAUAUUUAUAAUGUGGACUCAGAUAAGCUGAAUGGACUAUAUACAAAGUGGUGGCAUGGCACUGCAGCUAAGAGCACGCUCCUGGGCAUGAUGAACACCAAUGACUCCACGCUGGCAGAGGAUUCUCAUCCAAGCAUAUUUCUGUAGAAGUUCCAAGGACUAACUUCAAAGGAAACUGACUCCAGCAACCGGACAGUCCAGCUUCAGGAGACUUGAUGACUUCCAUCCAUGAAAACCGGACCUCCACUUGACCAGCUUCAAGAUAAUCAUCGGAAUAGACUGUGCUGACUUACACAUAGAGAACUUCCAACUCCCCUCCCCAUGGUUUUUUUGUUCUGCUUUCCCUCUCCCUCCUUGUAAACCCCUGCCUGCACUGAGAUGUAAAGGUGGUCUUUAGGACAGGAGUCCGCCAUCUGCUCAGGUUGCCGGCAUUUGAGUAAACUGUCUUUUUUCCAUCAACACCUGU
This is a long non-coding RNA of Molossus molossus (Pallas's mastiff bat), 798 nucleotides long. RefSeq lists it as uncharacterized. NCBI's taxonomy places the organism in Eukaryota, Metazoa, Chordata, Mammalia, Chiroptera, Molossidae. The record is from RefSeq and is a predicted model, not a curated record. The transcript has 3 exons.